UCAAACACUCUCCGGUCAAUAAACAACAGCGGGACCUCGAUGUCCAUAUUGGCUCCUACAUAUUCUACGAAUAUCUCUAUCGGUUGAACCUCUAUGUCAAGGAUUCAAACAAUCUCGUAUACUAUUCCCUUUGUCCUUCGUUAUGUUACUUGCCCGAGAUUCGAUCGUCGGUAUCAUCAUACCUAGUUCCAUCUCGUUACCGAUAACUCUCUUUACUCGUUCCGUAAUACAAGAUCCCGUA
This 241-nucleotide long non-coding RNA is filed under the name Hordeum vulgare. RNAcentral's name for it is "long non-coding RNA (HVUL_LNC010111)". The record is from RNAcentral. Lineage: Eukaryota; Viridiplantae; Streptophyta; Magnoliopsida; Poales; Poaceae.